UUGACAGACAGGCCAUAGAACAGCUGUAUGUAUACAAUUGUUAUUAUUUAAAUAAUACAAUUAGGAGCGCCGCUUCUGCGUCGUGUGUAAACUGUCUAAGGCUUCAUACACAGGCACUAUCUCUCAGAUUAUGUUGCAGGUGGUGCAUGGCCGUUGUUAGUUCGUGGAGUAAUCUGUCUGCUUAAUUGCGUUUCGUACAAGUACUCACUCAAUCCUGGACGUAUCUCAAUUAUAUGUGGCGGUGUCUGUCAUGGAAAGCAGCCUACGUUGUUUCAUACGUGCAGCUGUGUCGCCUCUGAGUUAUUGUCAUUUGGAGAGUACGUGAAUGCAACGAACGUGACCGUAGUGUUUUAUUUGCAUUUCAAACAAGUGACAUUCAUUUGACACGGUUUGUAUUCCGGCUACGUAUCAUCCCAGUGCAUAACCAUAACAUUGCAACUAUA
Molecule: ribosomal RNA, 443 nt
Filed under: Globorotalia cultrata
Lineage: Eukaryota; Foraminifera; Rotaliida; Globorotaliidae
Description: partial small subunit ribosomal RNA
Source: RNAcentral